RNAcentral lists this non-coding RNA (2358 nucleotides) under Apostichopus japonicus (Japanese sea cucumber). The record is from RNAcentral. Lineage: Eukaryota; Metazoa; Echinodermata; Holothuroidea; Aspidochirotida; Stichopodidae.
CUGUUUCACCCGAUGAGAUAUCAAUAGAGGAUGAACUGUCUAAGAUGGAUAACAGGGAUGAUGGGACUUCUAACAUUACACUCAGAUCAAGUUUCCGUGUCCUGAGCCAGUCCAUACACCAUGUCACUCUGGAAUGUAGGGUAGUAGAUGAGAAUGAUGGUUCACAACAUGAUGUCACUACAGUAGAGGUUCUCUUUGAUAAAAGUGAGGCUCAUGAAUCUCUUGCUUUUAUAUUUUGGUAUGACAUAGUAGGGCUGAUUUUGAAUGAUUUUUCUAGAUGUUUACUGGUAUUAGCUAUCCUUCCAUUUUUAAUUUCUAAAGGGCAAACUUACUAGUCUGAAAACUAAGGUAUAGGCAUGAAUGGAGAACAAAAACAAAUGUCACAUACACAUGUUCCUUCAGACAGUGGAACUGCAGUGUCUAUGUUUUUAACUGUCAUCAAAUUAUUAUUAUGAAAGGGCAGGACACAUGAAGAAAAACAUUUGCAUAAUCACUCAGGAACUCUACCAAAUAAUGUUGAACCAUUCGCAAAUACUGAGGGCAACUUGACACAACUCUGUUCUUGGAUGUUGGAUGCUCAUCUCAUAUUGUAUACAUGAAAAUGAGUAACCUGUUGUGUUUGGUGGAGAGAAAGUGAUAUUUAAUGUUAUAAAUGGUGAUGGCUGUAGUUUGAAGUUUCCUUACUGUAAAUAAAACCAAGUGAUUCUUUGGGAGUAUUCAGCUUAUAAAACUGUGAGGCUACUAUUCUAGAAGAGCUAGAGUAGAAUAAAUAAAGUCAUCUUCCUGAACUGCUCUGAUGAUAGUGCUCUGCCCAACACUUAUUAAAUUCAUGUCCUAGUUGAAAACAAGUAUAUUUUAAGGCAAUAUCACAUACAGUAGUAGAUUGAAAAUCAACAGUUUGAAUGAUUUUGUUGUUUUGAUCUCCUGUUCAGACUUCCCAGUGGUAAAUGGAUUGGUCCAUCAGCAACAUGUGGUCCUGAAUGUGAAAAGAGAAGACAAACUGACUUGCACCAUGAAUAGAGUCUCACCAACUAUGGUUUUAGAAUGGGUCUUCACUCCACCUGUUCCACCCAAUGAGAUAUCAAUGGACAAUGAACUGUCUAAGACGGAUAACAGGGACGGGACUUCUAACAUUACACUCAGCUCAAGUUUCCGUGUCCUGAGUCAGUCCAUACACUAUGUCACUCUGGAAUGUAGGGUAGUAGAUGAGAAUGAUGGUUCACAACAUGAUGUCACUACAGUAGAGCUUCUCUUUGAUAACAGUAAGGCUCAUUAAUUUUUAUGCUUUAAUAUUUUUGUUUGACUUAGUAGGGCUGAUUUUGAAGGAAUUUUCCAGAUGUUCCUGGUAUUACCUAUCCUUCCAUUUAAAAUUUCUAAGGACAAACUUACUAGUCUGAAAACUAAGGUCUGGUCAUGAACGGAGAACAAAACACAAAGUCACAUACACAUGUUCCUUCAGACAGUGGAUCUGCAGUGUCCAUGUUUAUAACAGUCAUUAAAUUAUCAUUACAAAAGGGUUGUGGAUUGUGUACAGUAACAAAGACAGAACACAUUAAGGAAACAUUUGCAUAAUCGCUCAAGAAUUCUGUUCAGGAAGAUGAUCAUGUAGUUCUACUCUAGCUCUUCUUGGAAAGUAGCCUCACAUUGUUACAAGCUGAAUACUCCCGAAGAAUCACUUGGUUUAUUUACAGUAAGGACACUGCAAACUACAGCAAUCACCAGUUAUAAAAUUAAAUAUCACUUUCUCUCCACCAAAGACAAUAGGUUACUCAUGUUGAUGUUAAAUAUGGGGUGAGUAAUCCAAUUCCAAGAACAGAGUUGUGUCAAGUUGCCCUCAGUAUUUGAGAAAUGGUUCAACUUUAUUUGGUAGAGUUCCUAAGCGAUUAUGCAAAUGUUUUUCUUCAUUUGUGCUGUCUUUGUUACUAUACACAAUCCACUGCCCUUUUGUAAUAAUAAUUUGAUGACAUUUAAAAACAUGGAGACUGCAGUUCCACUAUCUGAAGGAACAUGUGUAUUCAGCUUAUAUUGUGAGGCUACUAUCCAAGAAGAGCUAGAAUAGAAGAACUGCUGUAUGAUCAUCUUCCUGAACAGCUUUGAUGAUAGUUUCCCGUCCUACAUUAAUUAAUUUUAUGACCUAGUUGAAAACAAGUAUAGUUUUAGGCAAUUUCACAUACAGUAGUAGUUUGAAAAUCAAAACAUUGAAUGAUUUUGUUUUGAUCCACUGUUCAGACUUCCCUGUGGUGAAUGGAUUGGUCCAUCAGCAACAUGUGGUCCUGAAGGUGAACAGAGAAGACAAACUGACUUGCACCAUGAAUAGAGUCUCACAAACUAUGGUUUUAGAAUGGGUCUUCACUCCAC